GAGGGGCCCAUGUAACAUUUUGUUGCUAAAAUUUCAUCAUCAUCAUUUAAUGUCUGUUGUCCAUGCUGGUGUGUUUAUGUCCCCGUAACUUAGCGGUUCGGCAAAAGAAAUCGAUAGAAUAAGUACUAGGCUUCCAAAGAAUAAGUCCUGGGGUCGAUUUGCUCCACUAAAGAUGGUGCUCCAGCAUGGCCACAGUCAAAUGACUGAAACAAGUAAAAGAGUAAAAGAGAUAGAUCGUUUUCAUCAUUUGUUAACAUCUACUUUUCCAUGCUUGCAUGGAUCAGAUGGAAGUUGUUGAGGCAGAUUUCCUAGAAGACUGAAUGCUUACCCUGUCACCAACCUUCAUCUGUUUCCAGUUUAAAUCCUGCCAGAUCUGGUUUUGUCGUUCAUUUUUCUGGAUUAUUGGAAUAUGUGUCAAUAAAAUACUUGGAUUUUGGAUUAUUUUA
This is a long non-coding RNA of Octopus bimaculoides (California two-spot octopus), 446 nucleotides long. RefSeq lists it as uncharacterized. The record is from RefSeq and is a predicted model, not a curated record. Lineage: Eukaryota; Metazoa; Mollusca; Cephalopoda; Octopoda; Octopodidae.